GACGAACGCUGGCGGCGUGCUUAACACAUGCAAGUCGAGCGGUAAGGCCCUUCGGGGUACACGAGCGGCGAACGGGUGAGUAACACGUGGGUGACCUGCCCUUAGCUCUGGGAUAAGCCUGGGAAACUGGGUCUAAUACCGGAUAUGACCUCAUGACGCAUGUUGUGGGGUGGAAAGCCUUGUGCGGCUAGGGAUGGGCCCGCGGCCUAUCAGCUUGUUGGUGGGGUGAUGGCCACCAAGGCGACGACGGGUAGCCGGCCUGAGAGGGCGACCGGCCACACUGGGACUGAGACACGGCCCAGACUCCUACGGGAGGCAGCAGUGGGGAAUCUUGCGCAAUGGGCGAAAGCCUGACGCAGCGACGCCGCGUGAGGGAUGACGGCCU
Molecule: ribosomal RNA, 385 nt
Filed under: uncultured bacterium
Lineage: Bacteria
Description: bacterial SSU rRNA
Rfam family: Bacterial small subunit ribosomal RNA
Source: RNAcentral